CCUACGGGCGGCAGCAGUGGGGAAUAUUGGACAAUGGGCGAAAGCCUGAUCCAGCCAUGCCGCGUGUGUGAAGAAGGCCUUCGGGUUGUAAAGCACUUUCAGUGGGGAAGAAAGCCUUGGGGCUAAUACCCUCGAGGAAGGACAUCACCCACAGAAGAAGCACCGGCUAACUCCGUGCCAGCAGCCGCGGUAAUACGGAGGGUGCGAGCGUUAAUCGGAAUUACUGGGCGUAAAGCGCGCGUAGGCGGUCUGAUAAGCCGGUGUGAAAGCCCCGGGCUCAACCUGGGAACGGCAUCCGGAACUGUCAGGCUAGAGUGCAGGAGAGGAAGGUAGAAUUCCCGGUGUAGCAGUGAAAUGCGUAGAGAUCGGGAGGAAUACCAGUGGCGAAGGCGGCCUUCUGGACUGACACUGACGCUGAGGUGCGAAAGCGUGGGUAGCGAACAGGAUUAGAUACCCUGGUAGUC
RNAcentral lists this ribosomal RNA (464 nucleotides) under Vreelandella stevensii. RNAcentral describes it as "partial 16S ribosomal RNA". It matches the Rfam family "Bacterial small subunit ribosomal RNA", at positions 338 to 795 of the family's 1533-position model. Lineage: Bacteria; Pseudomonadati; Pseudomonadota; Gammaproteobacteria; Oceanospirillales; Halomonadaceae. The record is from RNAcentral.